GCGGUUUUUUUUUGUAAAAUUAGCAAAAAUGUUCUGUUUUUUCCGAACGUACUGUUUUUUGUUCUGAAAUUUAGCACCAAGCAGUUUAAAAAGUUUCUAUUACUGGACAGCCCUUUAAUGAUUAAGGUAUUAUCAGUAUUAAAUUGUCAUCCCUGAUUUGAACAGCUGAUUGCGGGUUUGAAUUAUUUUGCUUUCUGUAAUGUUCUAUUGACAAACAACUACCUUUACAAAAUGCCUCCUUCCCGCAGAAAAUGCGUUUUUAAUAAACAACUACAAGAAGAAUACACCUUCAUAAAGGAAAUUAACAGCGGUACAGUGAAAUGUACAAAAUGUUCUGCAGUUUUCUCUAUUGCCAAUGCAGGUAAACACGAUGUGCUGCGCCAUUUACAAUCUCAGAAACAUCGAAAAGCCGAUAUUGCAGCUUCUAGCAGCAAACCCGUGAUGAGCUUUGUAAGGACACGUACAAUAGACGAUCAGCGAAGAAAAAGCAGCGUAAAUGAAGGCAACUGGGCAUAUCACACUGAUUUUAAUGCUAUCAAUUUUAUUGCCGUUUUUUCCGACUGCUCAAAUCAUGGAAGUAUGAGAGUGUGUCCUGUUCUUGUUCGAUAUUUUGUGCCUGAGAAGGGUGUGCAAUUAAAAAUAUUGGAAGUAAAUGAUCUCCGUGGAGAAUCGUCAGAUAUACUAACAUAUUAUAUUUUUGAUCUCAUGAAAAAGUUUGCAUUAAGUGAGAAGUUACUUGCUCUUUGUGCAGAUAACACUAAUUGUAACUUUGGAGGAGCUGCAAGACGCGGGAUCAUGCAUUUAAAGAGGUUGAGGUAAUGGAAUGGAUUAUUCUGCGCACAGUGCCAUCUUGGGAUGAGGUUGAAAAAAAUUUAGUGUAUAUUAUGGAAAAGAGAAGCAACAGUAAUAUUAAUGACAGUGAAUUGUUUGAUGAAUUCACCUGCGUUAAAAGUUAUGUAACUCCAGAUAAACUUAUUCAAUCGGAGGAAAAUAAAAAGCCAGUUGACCAAAAAUGGA
Long non-coding RNA from Bactrocera dorsalis (oriental fruit fly), 1017 nucleotides. RefSeq lists it as uncharacterized. The transcript has 2 exons. NCBI's taxonomy places the organism in Eukaryota, Metazoa, Arthropoda, Insecta, Diptera, Tephritidae. The record is from RefSeq and is a predicted model, not a curated record.